GUUUUAGCGUUAGAUGGGAUUUAUGGUUAGGUUUAGGUAGGGUUUUAGGGUUAGGUUUAGGCAGGGUUUACGGUUAGCAUGGUUUAGGGUUAGGUAAGGUUUAGGGUUAGAAAGGGUUUAGGGUUAGGUAGGGUUUUUUGGGUUAGGCAGGGUUUAGGGUUAGGAAGGGUUUAGGGUUAGAAAGGGUUUUGGGUUAGGUAGGGUUUAGGGUUAGGUAGGGUUUUGAGUUAGGUAGGGUUUAGGGUUAGGUAGGGUUUAGGCUUGGUAGGGCUUAGGGUUAGGUAGAGUUUAGGGUUUAGGGUUAGGUAGGGUUUAGGGUUUUGGGUUAGGUAGGGUUUAGGGUUAGGUAGGGUUUUGAGUUAGGUAGGGUUUAGGGUUAGGUAGGGUUUAGGCUUGGUAGGGCUUAGGGUUAGGUAGAGUUUAGGGUUUAGGGUUAGGUAGGGUUUUGAGUUAGGUAGGGUUUAGGGUUAGGUAGGGUUUAGGCUUGGUAGGGCUUAGGGUUAGGUAGAAUUUAGGGUUUAGGGUUAGGUAGGGUUUAGGGUUGGUAGGACGGUUUAGGUAGGGUUUAGGGUUAGGUAGAGUUUAGGGUUGGUAGGGCUUAGGGUUAGGUAGGGUUUAGGGUUAGGUAGGAUUUAGGGUUACAUAGGGUUUAGGGUUACGUAGGGUUUAGGGUUAGGUAGGGCUUAGAAUUGGGUAGAGUUUAGGGUUAGUAGGGUUUAGGGUUAGGUAGGGUUUAGGGUUAUGUAGGGUUUAGGGUUAGAAUGGUUUUACGGUUAGGUAGGGUUUAGGGUUAUGUAAGGUUAGGGUUAGGUAGGGUUUAGAAUUAGGUAGGGUUUAGGGUUAGCAUGGUUUAGGGUUAGAAGGGUUUAGGGUUAGUAGGGUUUAAUUUAGGGUUAGGUAGGGUUUAGGGUUAGGUAAGGUUUAGGGUUAGAAGGGGUUUAAAGUUAGGUAGGGUUUAGGGUUAGGUAAGGUUUAGGGUUAUGUAGGGUUAGGGUUAGGUAGGGUCUAGAAUUAGGUAGAGUUUAGGGUUAGGUAAGGUUUAGGGUUAUGUAGGGUUAGGGUUAGGUAGGGUCUAGAAUUAGGUAGGGUUUAGGGUUAGCAUGGUUUAGGGUUAGAAGGGUUUAGGGUUAGUAGGGUUUAAUUUAGGGUUAGGUAGGGUUUAGGGUUAGGUAAUGUUUAGGGUUAGAAGGGGUUUAGAGUUAGGUAGGGUUUAGGGUUAGGUAAGGUUUAGGGUUAGAAGGAGUUUAGGGUUAGGUAGGUUUUAGGGUUUAGGGUUAGGUAGGAUUUAGGGUUAGGAAGGAUUUCGAAUUAGGUAGGGUUUAGGGUUAUGUAGGGUUUAGGGUUAGGUUUUAGGUUGGGUUUAGGGUUAGGUAGGGUUUAGGGUUGGUAGGGCUUAGGGUUUAGGGGUUUAGGGUUACGUAGGGUUUUAGGGUUGGUAGGGCUUAGGGUUAGGUAGGGUUUAGGGCUAGGUAGGGUUUAGGGUUAGGUAGGGUUUAGGGUUACAUUGGGUUUAGGGCUACGUAGGGUUUAGGGUUAGGUAGGGUUUAGAAUUGGGUAGGGUUUAGGGUUAGGUAGGGUUUAGGGUUAUGUAGGGCUUAGGGUUAGAAUGGUUUUACGGCUAGGUAGGGUUUAGGUUAGGUAGGGUUUAGGUUUAUGUAGGGUUACGGUUAGGUAGGGUUUAGAAUUAGGUAGGGUUUAGGGUUAGCGUGGUUUAGGGUUAGAAGGGUUUAGGGUUAGUAGGGUUAAGUGGAUUUAGGGCUAGAAAGGGUUUAGGGUUAGGUAGGGUUUAGGGUUAGGUAAGGUUUAGGGUUAGAAGGGGUUUAGAGUUAGGUAGGGUUUAGGGUUAAAAAGGGUUUAGGGUUAGAUAGGGUUUAGGGUUAGGUAGGGUUUAGGGUUAGGUAAGGUUUCAAAUUAGGUAGGGUUUAGGGGUAGGUAGUGUUUAGGGUUAGGUAGGGUUUAGGGUUAGAAAGGGUUUAGGGUAAGUAGGGUUUAAGGUUAGUAGGGUUUAGGGUUAGUAGGGUUUCGGGUUAGGUAGGGUUAGGGUUAGA
Molecule: long non-coding RNA, 2048 nt
Filed under: Brassica napus (rape)
Lineage: Eukaryota; Viridiplantae; Streptophyta; Magnoliopsida; Brassicales; Brassicaceae
Description: long non-coding RNA (BNAP_LNC007062)
Source: RNAcentral